This 120-nucleotide ribosomal RNA is filed under the name uncultured bacterium. RNAcentral's name for it is "partial 16S ribosomal RNA". It matches the Rfam family "Bacterial small subunit ribosomal RNA", at positions 28 to 146 of the family's 1533-position model. The record is from RNAcentral.
GAUGAACGCUAGCGGGAGGCUUAACACAUGCAAGUCGAGCGGCAGCACGGACUUCGGUCUGGUGGCGAGCGGCGCACGGGUGCGUAACGCGUAUGCAACCUGCCUUAUACAGGGGGAUAG